AACGAACGCUGGCGGCAUGCCUAACACAUGCAAGUCGAACGGGAUCCUGGUUUCGGCCAGGUGAGAGUGGCGGACGGGUGAGUAACGCGUGGGAACCUGCCCAGUGGUGGGGGAUAACUGCGGGAAACUGCAGCUAAUACCGCAUGAGCCCGCAAGGGGAAAGAUUGAUCGCCAUUGGAGGGGCCCGCGUUCGAUUAGGUAGUUGGUGAGGUAACGGCUCACCAAGCCUACGAUCGAUAGCUGGUCUGAGAGGAUGAUCAGCCACACUGGGACUGAGAUACGGCCCAGACUCCUACGGGAGGCAGCAGUGGGGAAUCUUGCGCAAUGGGCGAAAGCCUGACGCAGCGACGCCGCGUGAGGGAUGACGGCCU
This 371-nucleotide ribosomal RNA is filed under the name uncultured bacterium. RNAcentral describes it as "bacterial SSU rRNA". It matches the Rfam family "Bacterial small subunit ribosomal RNA", at positions 29 to 417 of the family's 1533-position model. The record is from RNAcentral.